GUGGGGAAUAUUAGACAAUGGGCGAAAGCCUGAUCCAGCCAUGCCGCGUGUGUGAAGAAGGUCUUCGGAUUGUAAAGCACUUUAAGUUGGGAGGAAGGGCAGUAAGUUAAUACCUUGCUGUUUUGACGUUACCGACAGAAUAAGCACCGGCUAACUUCGUGCCAGCAGCCGCGGUAAUACGAAGGGUGCAAGCGUUAAUCGGAAUUACUGGGCGUAAAGCGCGCGUAGGUGGUUUUGUAAGUUGGAGGUGAAAUCCCCGGGCUCAACCUGGGAACUGCCUCCAAAACUGCAUGACUAGAGUACGGUAGAGGGUAGUGGAAUUUCCUGUGUAGCGGUGAAAUGCGUAGAUAUAGGAAGGAACACCAGUGGCGAAGGCGACUACCUGGACUGAUACUGACACUGAGGUGCGAAAGCGUGGGGAGCAAACAGGAUUAGAAACCCUGGUAGUCC
RNAcentral lists this ribosomal RNA (450 nucleotides) under uncultured bacterium. RNAcentral's name for it is "bacterial SSU rRNA". It matches the Rfam family "Bacterial small subunit ribosomal RNA", at positions 354 to 796 of the family's 1533-position model. The record is from RNAcentral.